Molecule: non-coding RNA, 379 nt
Organism: Pelobates cultripes (western spadefoot toad)
Lineage: Eukaryota; Metazoa; Chordata; Amphibia; Anura; Pelobatidae
Source: the annotation of a GenBank genome assembly
GUCUCCUCCUCCAGUGACAUCAUGCCAAUGUGGGAACACACGGAUUAGACCUUUCUCCUAUGAAAUCAAUUACAUAAUGCUUUCCUACAGGGGUUUUAAAGAUGCUGGGCAUGUCUUCACGGAGCUGAACUAUGUGAGAAAGCAGGAAUCACCUCUAGUGGCUAUCUGUAAGACUGUUACUACAGGUCGUCUUAAGCCUACAAUGUAAACAGUGCUGCCAGAGAUUAAGUGGUCUGGGUGCCUUUAGUGUCCCUUUAAUGUCCCAACCACAGAUGUUCUCUUUGGGUAUUCUUUUUUAUUUUUCAUUUCUAAAAUAGAAUUGUAGACUAAAAGGGUCACGGAACCCACAACUCGACUGAACAAGACCUUCUGCACCUCC